RNAcentral lists this ribosomal RNA (119 nucleotides) under Pteropus alecto (black flying fox). Lineage: Eukaryota; Metazoa; Chordata; Mammalia; Chiroptera; Pteropodidae. The record is from RNAcentral.
GUCUAAGGCCAUGCCACCUUGAACAAACCCAAUCCCCUCUGAUCUCGGAAGCUAAGCGGGGUCGGUCCUGGUUAGUACUUGGAUGGGAGACCACCUAGGAAGACCAGGUACUGUAGGUG